UCUUGGUCAUUUAGAGGAAGUAAAAGUCGUAACAAGGUCUCCGUUGGUGAACCAGCGGAGGGAUCAUUACCGAGUUUACAACUCCCAAACCCCUGUGAACAUACCAAUUGUUGCCUCGGCGGAUCAGCCCGCUCCCGGUAAAACGGGACGGCCCGCCAGAGGACCCCUAAACUCUGUUUCUAUAUGUAACUUCUGAGUAAAACCAUAAAUAAAUCAAAACUUUCAACAACGGAUCUCUUGGUUCUGGCAUCGAUGAAGAACGCAGCAAAAUGCGAUAAGUAAUGUGAAUUGCAGAAUUCAGUGAAUCAUCGAAUCUUUGAACGCACAUUGCGCCCGCCAGUAUUCUGGCGGGCAUGCCUGUUCGAGCGUCAUUUCAACCCUCAAGCCCAGCUUGGUGUUGGGACUCGCGAGUCAAAUCGCGUUCCCCAAAUUGAUUGGCGGUCACGUCGAGCUUCCAUAGCGUAGUAGUAAAACCCUCGUUACUGGUAAUCGUCGCGGCCACGCCGUUAAACCCCAACUUCUGAAUGUUGACCUCGGAUCAGGUAGGAAUACCCGCUGAACUUAAGCAUAUCAAUAAGNCGGAGGAA
RNAcentral lists this ribosomal RNA (587 nucleotides) under Fusarium sp. 3 TMS-2011. RNAcentral's name for it is "eukaryotic LSU rRNA". The stretch from base 218 to 371 matches the Rfam family "5.8S ribosomal RNA". Lineage: Eukaryota; Fungi; Ascomycota; Sordariomycetes; Hypocreales; Nectriaceae. The record is from RNAcentral.